GCCUUCUUGGUGUAAUGGUCAGUACACUCGGUGCAUAUUCGAGAGGUCCGAGGUUCGAAUCCCUGCGAGGGCA
This 73-nucleotide transfer RNA is filed under the name Stegodyphus mimosarum. It matches the Rfam family "tRNA". From Rfam's summary of the family: Transfer RNA (tRNA) molecules are approximately 80 nucleotides in length. Their secondary structure includes four short double-helical elements and three loops (D, anti-codon, and T loops). Lineage: Eukaryota; Metazoa; Arthropoda; Arachnida; Araneae; Eresidae. The record is from Rfam by way of RNAcentral.